AUUAUAGAAAGUUUUCAGACUAGCCUCGUUCCAUCCAGAUAUUGUUGUUAAUUUGGUGGAGGUGUUAUGUGUUUUAAGCUGGGUGGCAAAAGGGAAAUGGUAUUUUGGGUGACCACUAUCCAUUGUAGUUCUUAUCAGGAGUAUGCUAGAUGUUGUUGAGCCUUGAGGACUCUGAGAACAUGAGCAACGAGAAUAAAGAAGAAUAAGAAAUGAAUGGGAAUCAAAAGAAGACGAUAAAGUUAAUGAUUCGUCAUAUCAAGGAUAUAGAAAGAUUCAGAGCUUCGAAAGAAGUGAAGCUAGAGUUAAUUCUUCCAGCUGAGGUUUUAAUGUCGCUGGUCAGAGUAAAAGUGAUGGAUAUACUGGUAAUCCCAGAUAUUUGAGACAAGGUGUCUCGAGUAAAGGAAAUGUACCUUGUGCAGCAGGUACAAAAUUAACACUUUGGGAAGUGUGAAAUUAAUGAAUGUGUUUAUGUGAACAGAGGGGACACAGAAUUGUGAAUCGUCCCUAGAAUCAGUUGUACUCAACAAUUUUCCAUGAUAUCAUAGUGUCAAUUCAGCAGG
RNAcentral lists this long non-coding RNA (560 nucleotides) under Malus domestica (apple). RNAcentral's name for it is "long non-coding RNA (MDOM_LNC021111)". The record is from RNAcentral. Lineage: Eukaryota; Viridiplantae; Streptophyta; Magnoliopsida; Rosales; Rosaceae.